Camelus dromedarius (Arabian camel) is the source of this 535-nucleotide long non-coding RNA. RefSeq lists it as uncharacterized. The transcript is spliced from 3 exons. Lineage: Eukaryota; Metazoa; Chordata; Mammalia; Artiodactyla; Camelidae. The record is from RefSeq and is a predicted model, not a curated record.
ACUGUGUGCCAGGUGCUGUGUUGGAAGCCACAGACACAUGGAGGGGACAGAUCCUGCCCUUGGAGGAACAAAGAAUUGCACACGUCGGGUGAUGACAGAAGUGCACAGGUGGCAAGGCGAAGAAGAAGGGAGCAGAGGCCAUGGGAGAAGGCACUGGGCGGCCCCUGGUACCCCGCCAACAGCAUCCGGCAGACGAGUGAAGCUGUGCUCUCACUGACAUCAUGGGGGGACCCCCGGCAGGUGUCAGACACACCGUCCUCGGCCGACUACGUGAUGCCCGCCCGUACCGGGAAGGGCGGUCUUUACUCCGCCCCUGAACAAACGCUGAUCUCUUCUGAAACGCACCAGAGACGCAGAAAUAAUGUUUUAGCAGCUAUCUGGCUGGUCAGGCUGGCACACACAAUUAACCGUCACCCAAGGUCUGCAGGGAACACCCUGAGUUUGGACCCUCUCGGGGAGUUCAGGGCUCUCUUGGGCAGGAGCCACCCCGUCCUCCUUGCUCGGCCCUGCAGUAAACCUUCCUCUGCUCCAGACU